UGGGGAAUCUUGCACAAUGGAGGAAACUCUGAUGCAGCGACGCCGCGUGAGCGAUGAAGCCCUUCGGGGUGUAAAGCUCUUUCGACGGGAACGAUAAUGACGGUACCCGAAGAAGAAGCUGCGGCUAACUACGUGCCAGCAGCCGCGGUAAUACGUAGGCAGCAAGCGUUGUUCGGAAUUACUGGGCGUAAAGAGUGUGUAGGCGGUUCUCUAUGUUCGGUGUGAAAUCUCCCGGCUUAACUGGGAGGGUGCGCCGAAAACUGGAGGGCUUGAGUAUGGGAGAGGAAAGCGGAAUUCCUGGUGUAGCGGUGAAAUGCGUAGAUAUCAGGAGGAACACCUGCGGUGUAGACGGCUUUCUGGACCAUCACUGACGCUGAGACACGAAAGCGUGGGUAGCAAACAGGAUUAGAUACCCUGGUAGUCCACGCCCUAAACGAUGCAUACUUGGUGUGAGCCGUUCAUUCGGUUCGUGCCGGAGCUAACGCGUUAAGUAUGCCGCCUGGGGAGUACGGUCGCAAGGCUG
This 523-nucleotide ribosomal RNA is filed under the name uncultured bacterium. RNAcentral describes it as "bacterial SSU rRNA". It matches the Rfam family "Bacterial small subunit ribosomal RNA", at positions 355 to 896 of the family's 1533-position model. The record is from RNAcentral.